AGGGGGCGGGUGCUGGGCAGCCACCGGGGGCCGAACGCAGCGUGCCGGCGUCGUAGCGUUGAUAUAUCCGCUUUUAAUGUGGCUGUAAUUGGCAUGAUAUCCCAUACCAAAAUGUCUUUUGAGCAGAAGAAAUAGAGGUGAACUAUAAAGUGAGAGCCAGUUUCCUCUCUACUCUACAAUCUAGGAGAAAAAACUUUCACCCAAGGACAAAUCAAGUAAUUGUUGACUCAAUCUUAUGAGGUUCAAGAUUAUGCUUUUCUAUUUCUGCCCUUUAUAAAAUUAAUUAGAAGUGAUAGCCAAGUGUGCCAGUUUUUGUAACAUAAGGAAAUGCUUGAACACCAA
This is a long non-coding RNA of Hyaena hyaena (striped hyena), 342 nucleotides long. RefSeq lists it as uncharacterized. The record is from RefSeq and is a predicted model, not a curated record. NCBI's taxonomy places the organism in Eukaryota, Metazoa, Chordata, Mammalia, Carnivora, Hyaenidae. The transcript is spliced from 4 exons.